CAGUAGCCACGGUAAUACAGAGGAUGCAAGCGAUAUCCGGGAUGAUUGGGCGUAAAGCGUCUGUAGGUGGCUUUUCAAGUCCGCCGUCAAAUCCCAGGGCUCAACCCUGGACAGGCGGUGGAGACUACCAAGCUGGAGUACGGUAGGGGCAGAGGGAAUUUCCGGUGGAGCGGUGAGAUGCGUUGAGAUCGGAAAGAACACCAACGGCGAAAGCACUCUGCUGGGCCGACACUGACACUGAGAGACGAAAGCUAGGGGAGCAAAUGGGAUUAGAGACCCCAGUAGUCCCUGUCUCUUAUAC
This 301-nucleotide ribosomal RNA is filed under the name uncultured bacterium. RNAcentral's name for it is "partial 16S ribosomal RNA". It matches the Rfam family "Bacterial small subunit ribosomal RNA", at positions 509 to 807 of the family's 1533-position model. The record is from RNAcentral.